RNAcentral lists this transfer RNA (72 nucleotides) under Ornithorhynchus anatinus (platypus). It matches the Rfam family "tRNA". From Rfam's summary of the family: Transfer RNA (tRNA) molecules are approximately 80 nucleotides in length. The record is from Rfam by way of RNAcentral. Lineage: Eukaryota; Metazoa; Chordata; Mammalia; Monotremata; Ornithorhynchidae.
AGCAGCAUGGCCUAGUGGAAGGAGCAUGGGACUGGAAGUCCGAGGAACUGGGUUCUAAUCCCAGUUCUGUGA